Molecule: ribosomal RNA, 488 nt
Filed under: Daphnia projecta
Lineage: Eukaryota; Metazoa; Arthropoda; Branchiopoda; Diplostraca; Daphniidae
Description: partial 16S ribosomal RNA
Rfam family: Bacterial large subunit ribosomal RNA
Source: RNAcentral
CUCCUCUUGUGUCAUAUAAGAGGUACCGUCUGCUCAAUGCAAUUUGUAAAUAGCCGCAGUAUUCUGACUGUGCUAAGGUAGCAUAAUCAUUAGUCUUUUAAUUGAAGGCUGGUAUGAAUGACGAGACGAGAAAAUUACUGUCUCUAUAGUAAAUUUUGAAUUUUAUUUUUAAGUGAAAAAGCUUAAAUGAUUUUGAAGGACGAUCAGACCCUUUGGAGCUUUAUUUAUUUUAAAUUUAAAUUUGUUAAAGAUGAUUGAAUGAAAAAUAAAUUUUGUUGGGGCGACAGAGAGUAAAAGAUAACACUCUUUUUUAUAAACAAUUAUAUUUGGAAAAUUGAUCCUUAAAGAGAGAUUAAAAGACUAAGUUACCCUAGGGAUAACAGCGUAAUCUUUUUGGAGAGUUCAAAUCGAUAAAAAGGUUUGCGACCUCGAUGUUGGAUUAAGAAAUUAACAAGGUGCAGAAGUUUUGUUGGAGAGUGCUGUUACUC